AAAAGAACCUGAAACCGUGUACGUACAAGCAGUGGGAGCACCCUUCGGGGUGUGACUGCGUACCUUUUGUAUAAUGGGUCAGCGACUUAUAUUCUGUAGCAAGGUUAACCGUAUAGGGGAGCCGGAGGGAAACCGAGUCUUAAUUGGGCGUUAAGUUGCAGGGUAUAGACCCGAAACCCGGUGAUCUAGCCAUGGGCAGGUUGAAGGUUGGGUAACACUAACUGGAGGACCGAACCGACUAAUGUUGAAAAAUUAGCGGAUGACCUGUGGCUGGGGGUGAAAGGCCAAUCAAACCGGGAGAUAGCUGGUUCUCCCCGAAAGCUAUUUAGGUAGCGCCUCGUGAAUUCAUCUCCGGGGGUAGAGCACUGUUUCGGCUAGGGGGCCAUCCCGGCUUACCAACCCGAUGCAAACUGCGAAUACCGGAGAAUGUUAUCACGGGAGACACACGGCGGGUGCUAACGUCCGUCGUGAAGAGGGAAACAACCCAGACCGCCAGCUAAGGUCCCAAAGUCAUGGUUAAGUGGGAAACGAUGUGGGAAGGCCCAGACAGCCAGGAUGUUGGCUUAGAAGCAGCCAUCAUUUAAAGAAAGCGUAAUAGCUCACUGGUCGAGUCGGCCUGCGCGGAAGAUGUAACGGGGCUAAACCAUGCACCGAAGCUGCGGCAGCGAACGUAUCACCCAAGACAACUUUACGGAGUUGACGAUUGACGGAGCGAAGCGAC
RNAcentral lists this ribosomal RNA (721 nucleotides) under Salmonella enterica. RNAcentral's name for it is "partial 23S ribosomal RNA". It matches the Rfam family "Bacterial large subunit ribosomal RNA", at positions 542 to 1222 of the family's 2925-position model. Lineage: Bacteria; Pseudomonadati; Pseudomonadota; Gammaproteobacteria; Enterobacterales; Enterobacteriaceae. The record is from RNAcentral.